Molecule: non-coding RNA, 111 nt
Filed under: Canis lupus familiaris (dog)
Lineage: Eukaryota; Metazoa; Chordata; Mammalia; Carnivora; Canidae
Also listed under: 1 other name
Source: miRBase by way of RNAcentral
CUCCCCGUGUUCGCAGGAAGGAAAUUUCGGGCAAGCUGGGAGGCAGAGUGCUCUUGCUUCUGCCCAUUCUGAGAGUGCUCCUUUUGCAGCCCCUGACUUGCCUCACAGGGC